GGCAGGGUAGCCUAGUGGUUAGAGUGUAGAGGAGGCAGGGUAGCCUAGUGGUUAGAGUGUAGAGGAGGCAGGGUAGCCUAGUGGUUAGAGUGUAGAGGAGGUAGGGUAGCCUAGUGGUUAGAGGGUAGAGGAGGUAGGGUAGCCUAGUGGUUAGAAUGUAGAGGUGGUAGGUAGCCUAGUGGUUAGAGUGUAGAGGAGGCAGGUAGCCUAGUGGUUAGAGUGUAGAGGAGGCAGGUAGCCUAGUGGUUAGAGUGUAGAGGUGGCAGGUAGCCUAGUGGUUAGAGUGUAGAGGAGGCAGGUAGCCUAGUGGUUAGAGGGUAGAGGUGGUAGGUAGCCUAGUGGUUAGAGUGGAGGGGCGGCAG
Oncorhynchus tshawytscha (Chinook salmon) is the source of this 362-nucleotide long non-coding RNA. The record is from Ensembl. NCBI's taxonomy places the organism in Eukaryota, Metazoa, Chordata, Actinopteri, Salmoniformes, Salmonidae.